CGCGGGGUGGAGCAGCUUGGUAGCUCGUCGGGCCCAUAACCCGAAGGUCGUCGGUUCCUAUCCGGCUCCCGCAACCA
Molecule: transfer RNA, 77 nt
Filed under: Vibrio parahaemolyticus
Lineage: Bacteria; Pseudomonadati; Pseudomonadota; Gammaproteobacteria; Vibrionales; Vibrionaceae
Description: tRNA-Met
Rfam family: tRNA
About the family: Transfer RNA (tRNA) molecules are approximately 80 nucleotides in length. Their secondary structure includes four short double-helical elements and three loops (D, anti-codon, and T loops).
Source: RNAcentral